This 379-nucleotide small RNA is filed under the name Puniceicoccales bacterium. RNAcentral's name for it is "transfer-messenger RNA". It matches the Rfam family "transfer-messenger RNA". From Rfam's summary of the family: Bacterial tmRNA, also known as 10Sa RNA or SsrA, is named for its dual tRNA and mRNA-like properties. Its role is to liberate the mRNA from a stalled ribosome. The record is from RNAcentral. Lineage: Bacteria; Pseudomonadati; Verrucomicrobiota; Opitutia; Puniceicoccales.
GGGGGUGUUCCGGAUUCGAUUUUAAUCAAGAGGGCGCGAUGGCACGCGGAGGAUGAUGCUUGGCCUCCCUAAUCAUGCAUCGCCACGAUAACUGGCAAAACAAACAACGUAAUCGCCUUUGAGCGUAACAGCUCACUGGCGCUCGCGGCCUGAGUCCGCGACGGUCACCGCAACCCACUCCUGCUAAGUUGCCGGGCCGUCUAAAAAGCAGGAAAAAGCUCCGGUUUCGCAGCGGUUUUGGAGUUGAAAUAAAAACCUUUGCUGGACGACGCGGGCGCCUCCGCCCAACCGCCGUCAAGAUCCAAUCGGAAGGCUAAGCGUGUAGAUGUCGUGUUCAAUGGAUUGAAAGACGCGGGUUCAAUUCCCGCCACCUCCACCA